Molecule: RNase P RNA, 325 nt
Filed under: Helicobacter sp. MIT 14-3879
Lineage: Bacteria; Pseudomonadati; Campylobacterota; Epsilonproteobacteria; Campylobacterales; Helicobacteraceae
Description: Bacterial RNase P class A
Rfam family: Bacterial RNase P class A
About the family: Ribonuclease P (RNase P) is a ubiquitous endoribonuclease, found in archaea, bacteria and eukarya as well as chloroplasts and mitochondria. Its best characterised activity is the generation of mature 5'-ends of tRNAs by cleaving the 5'-leader elements of precursor-tRNAs.
Source: Rfam by way of RNAcentral
AUGGUGUAGUGGGCGAUUGCUUAAUAUCUUUAAGAGGAAAGUCCGGACUACAAUGGAGCGGGAUUCCAUCUAACAGAUGGCUAUCGUAAGGUAAGGGAAAGUGCAACAGAAAAUAAACCACUAAAUAUUUUAGUAAGGGUGAAAUGGCGAGGUAAGAGCUCACCGGAUUUUAAGUAAUUAAAAUCGCAAUGCAAACCCAAUUCGUAGCAAGAAGAGUAGGUUAUAAGCUCCAUAUUUUUAGCUCUUUGCUGAAAUGUUAUUGUGAAAUAGCAUUUAGAUAAAUAAUCGCUUUUAACAGAAUCCGGCUUAUAGCUACACCUUAUAA